CCCACUUGCAGCGCUUCAUCGAUUAUUUUUUUAUGGUUUCUACUUUGAUUAUUUCUUCCUAUAAUUCUUUUUCAUUCAAUUUUUAUAGCCUGCAUGUCAAUAAAACCUUCACUUUCUUAUGUUAAAUCAACUUAGAUGCAAGGGAGCCAGUUUCCAGAUACCAGCACCAAAAAAUAUGUUCACAUCGUUGUUGUAUAUUUUGGCGACGCUACCGCAUAUUGGCCAUCGUUAUGGGUAGGCUCCGAGCAGCAACACUUUCACUAAUCGAAAAUAUCCAAGAACUUUCGAAAAAGAAGAUGCAGUCUCCAAAGGUACCCUCUAAUCGAUUUCAACCUAUAAAUUUAGAUCUAAUUAAUUGACAUUAUUUGAUACUCCACCAUUUAUACUCAUCUCCGUAACAAUUGAUUUAUGUCUAUAAACUUCUGAGAUGGGAAGAAGAAUGAGAAGAAACGGAGUGCUGAAGAAGAAACAACGACGAAGAAGAAGAUGCAACAUCGUAAAAAAGAAGUUCGCCUGAUUUCUUCUUCUAACUGAUUCGCAAUCAAAUGCAUCAUCUCUCACAAAUCAUGGUUACUCUUUUCAUCAAGCUGUCUGAAUUUUACCAAUAUCGAUAGAAAAUAUAUAGAUAGAGGUUGUUGUAGUAUGGUAGUUGAAUUUAGUACGAAUAAGUAAACGAAUGGUCUUUUAAUGGUAAAGAAAAGAUAAGGAAAAUUUUAGGAAUCGAUUA
Salvia miltiorrhiza (redroot sage) is the source of this 727-nucleotide long non-coding RNA. RefSeq lists it as uncharacterized. The record is from RefSeq and is a predicted model, not a curated record. Lineage: Eukaryota; Viridiplantae; Streptophyta; Magnoliopsida; Lamiales; Lamiaceae. The transcript is spliced from 2 exons.